UGCUUAAAGCAGGCAUAUGCCUUGAAUACUCCAGCAUGGAAUAAUAUUAAAGAUUUUUAUCUUUCUUAUUGGUUCUAAGAUAAGAAUAAUGAUUAAUAGGGACAGUUGGGGGCAUUUGUAUUUAACAGUCAGAGGUGAAAUUCUUAGAUUUGUUAAAGACAAACUAAUGCGAAAGCAUUUGCCAAGGAUGUUUUCAUUAAUCAAGAACGAAAGUUAGGGGAUCGAAGACGAUCAGAUACCGUCGUAGUCUUAACCAUAAACUAUGCCAACUAGAGAUUGGAGGUU
RNAcentral lists this ribosomal RNA (285 nucleotides) under Cryptosporidium parvum. RNAcentral's name for it is "partial 18S ribosomal RNA". It matches the Rfam family "Eukaryotic small subunit ribosomal RNA", at positions 772 to 1061 of the family's 1831-position model. Lineage: Eukaryota; Apicomplexa; Conoidasida; Eucoccidiorida; Cryptosporidiidae. The record is from RNAcentral.